UCGGAAUCACUGGGCUUAAAGGGCGCGUAGGCGGCUUGCCAAGUCAGGGGUGAAAUUUUGCGGCUUAACCGUAACAGUGCCUUUUGAUACUGGCAGGCUAGAGGGAGACAGGGGUCCGCGGAACUUCCGGUGGAGCGGUGAAAUGCGUUGAUAUCGGAAGGAACGCCGGUGGCGAAAGCGGCGGACUGGAUCUUUUCUGACGCUGAGGCGCGAAAGCCAGGGGAGCAAACGGGAUUAGAUACCCCGGUAGUCCUAGCCCUAAACGAUGGGUACUAGAUUGUAAGCGUGACAUGCGCCUACAGUCGAAGCAAAAGUGUUAAGUACCCCGCCUGGGGAGUAUGGUCGCAAGGCUGAAACUCAAAGGAAUUGACGGGGGCUCACACAAGCGGUGGAGCAUGUGGCUUAAUUCGAGGCUACGCGAAGAACCUUAUCCUAGGCUUGACAUGUGCGAAAGCGUCAGGAAGUAGGCGCCGGAAACGGCCGCCCAACGGUAUCCAGUCCGGAACCUGAUACAGGUGCUGCAUGGCUGUCGUCAGCUCGUAUCGUGAGAUGUCGGGUUAAGUCCCAUAACGAGCGAAACCCUUGCCUCUAGUUGCCAGCGGGUCAUGCCGGGGACUCUAGAGGGACUGCCGGUGUUAAACCGGAGGAAGGUGGGGAUGACGUCAAGUCCUCAUGGCCUUUAUGCCUAGGGCUGCACACGUGCUACAAUGCCGCGAACAAAGGGACGCAAACCCGCGAGGGGGAGCAAAUCCCAAAAAACGCGGCCCAGUUCAGAUCGAA
Molecule: ribosomal RNA, 780 nt
Filed under: uncultured Planctomycetota bacterium
Lineage: Bacteria; Pseudomonadati; Planctomycetota
Description: bacterial SSU rRNA
Rfam family: Bacterial small subunit ribosomal RNA
Source: RNAcentral